Molecule: ribosomal RNA, 453 nt
Filed under: uncultured bacterium
Lineage: Bacteria
Description: bacterial SSU rRNA
Rfam family: Bacterial small subunit ribosomal RNA
Source: RNAcentral
AGAGUUUGAUCAUGGCUCAGAAUGAACGCUGGCGGCAUGCCUAACACAUGCAAGUCAAACGAAGCCUUCGGGCUUAGUGGCGCACGGGUGCGUAACGCGUGGGAAUCUGCCCUUGGGUUCGGAAUAACAGUUAGAAAUGACUGCUAAUACCGAAUGAUGUCGUAAGACCAAAGAUUUAUCGCCCAGGGAUGAGCCCGCGUAGGAUUAGCUAGUUGGUGUGGUAAAGGCGCACCAAGGCGACGAUCCUUAGCUGGUCUGAGAGGAUGAUCAGCCACACUGGGACUGAGACACGGCCCAGACUCCUACGGGAGGCAGCAGUGGGGAAUAUUGGACAAUGGGCGAAAGCCUGAUCCAGCAAUGCCGCGUGAGUGAUGAAGGCCUUAGGGUUGUAAAGCUCUUUUACCCGGGAUGAUAAUGACAGUACCGGGAGAAUAAGCUCCGGCUAACUCCGUG